Molecule: ribosomal RNA, 497 nt
Filed under: uncultured bacterium
Lineage: Bacteria
Description: partial 16S ribosomal RNA
Rfam family: Bacterial small subunit ribosomal RNA
Source: RNAcentral
GAUGAACGCUGGCGGCGUGCCUAAUACAUGCAAGUCGAGCGAACGGACGAGAAGCUUGCUUCUCUGAUGUUAGCGGCGGACGGGUGAGUAACACGUGUAUAACCUACCUAUAAGACUGGGAUAACUUCGGGAAACCGGAGCUAAUCCCGGAUAAUAUUUUGAACCGCAUUGUUCAAAAGUGAAAGACGGUCUUGCUGUCACUUAUAGAUGGAUCCGCGCUGCAUUAGCUAGUUGUUAAGGUACCGGCUUACCAAGGCAACGAUGCAUAGCCGACCUGAGAGGCUGAUAGGCCACCCGAGAACGGGGACACGGACCAGACGCCUACGGGAGGCAGCAGUAGGGAACCUUCCGCAAUGGGCGAAAGCAUGACGGAGCAACGCCGCGUGAGUGAUGAAGGUCUUCGGAUCGUAAAAAUCUGUUAUUAGGGAAGAACAUAUGUGUAAGUAAAUGUGCACAUAUUGACGGUAACUAAUAAGAAAGCAACGGCUAACUACGUG